Molecule: long non-coding RNA, 306 nt
Filed under: Physcomitrium patens
Lineage: Eukaryota; Viridiplantae; Streptophyta; Bryopsida; Funariales; Funariaceae
Description: long non-coding RNA (PPAT_LNC009674)
Source: RNAcentral
CUUCUUGUAAAUGCCUCUGUAAAUUCAUCAUUAAUUGGACUUAAGUCCAUGUUUCUAAUGAUUAUCUUAUUUAUUGAUUGCAUAUCUUGAAUAAACCUCAAUUUUUCAUUUUUUUUAAGUAUUGUGAACCAUCGAUUGGAAUAUGGUACAAUAGAUGGUUCUAAAAUUUCCAUCUUAAUCUUUUCAUUGAGUAAUUCAACUAGCUUUGGCAAAUAGGCCUUUAGAAUUAGAAUGGGCUUCAAAUUCUAUGGUUCAUGUGGAAUUAUAAAAAUAACCUUAGGAGCUACAAUACUUAGAUCAAUGCAC